ACGCUCGACACCUACGGGGGCAGCAGUGGGGAAUAUUGCACAAUGGGGGAAACCCUGAUGCAGCGACGCCGCGUGAGCGAAGAAGUAUUUCGGUAUGUAAAGCUCUAUCAGCAGGGAAGAAAAUGACGGUACCUGGCUAAGAAGCACCGGCUAAAUACGUGCCAGCAGCCGUGGUAAUCUGAGCGGGCUGGCAAGGC
RNAcentral lists this ribosomal RNA (197 nucleotides) under uncultured bacterium. RNAcentral's name for it is "partial 16S ribosomal RNA". It matches the Rfam family "Bacterial small subunit ribosomal RNA", at positions 328 to 539 of the family's 1533-position model. The record is from RNAcentral.